GGUGGUUGAACAGUGUUGUUGACAGGGCUAUUAGAGAAAAGAAACAGGCUUGGAAGGACUGGAAGAACAGUGGUAGCAGGGAAUCGUAUCAGACUGCCAGAAUGGAAGCUAGGAGACAGGUUUAUUAAGCCAGAGAGGAAGCAGAUAAGUAAAAAUUUACCAAUAUUCUGUGCCAUGCAGACCAAAGACUUGAGGUAUUUCGUGUUGCAAGACAGUGUGU
Molecule: long non-coding RNA, 220 nt
Filed under: Octopus sinensis (East Asian common octopus)
Lineage: Eukaryota; Metazoa; Mollusca; Cephalopoda; Octopoda; Octopodidae
Description: uncharacterized LOC118765975
Source: RNAcentral